RNAcentral lists this small nuclear RNA (107 nucleotides) under Dasypus novemcinctus (nine-banded armadillo). Lineage: Eukaryota; Metazoa; Chordata; Mammalia; Cingulata; Dasypodidae. The record is from RNAcentral.
AUGCUCGUGUCGGCAGCACAUAUACUAAAAUUGGAACACUACAGAGAAAAUUAGCCCGGCCCCUGAGCAAGGAUGACACGCAAAUUUGUGAAGCGUUCUGUAUUUAA